ACCCGCUGAACUUAAGCAUAUCAAUAAGCGGAGGACAAGAAACCAACUGGGAUUGCCUCAGUAACGGCGAGUGAAGCGGCAACAGCUCAAAUUUGAAAUCUGGCUCCCUCGGGGUCCGAGUUGUAAUUUGUAGAGGAUGCUUCGGGCGCGGCGCUGGUCCAAGUUCCUUGGAACAGGACGUCAGAGAGGGUGAGAAUCCCGUACGUGACUGUGCGCCGCCCGUCCGUGUGAAGCUCCUUCGACGAGUCGAGUUGUUUGGGAAUGCAGCUCCAAGUGGGUGGUAAAUUUCAUCUAAAGCUAAAUAUGGGCCAGAGACCGAUAGCGCACAAGUAGAGUGAUCGAAAGAUGAAAAGCACUUUGGAAAGAGAGUUAAACAGCACGUGAAAUUGUUGAAAGGGAAGCGCUUGCAACCAGACUUGUGCGCAGCCGAUCAUCCGGGGUUCUCCCCGCUGCACUCGGUUGCGCUCAGGCCAGCAUCGGUUUGGGUGGUCGGACAAAGGUCGUGGGAAUGUGGCUUCCUUCGGGGAGUGUUAUAGCCCGCGGCGGCAUGCGACCUACCUGGACCGAGGAACGCGCUCCGGCUAGGAUGCUGGCGUAAUGGUUGUAAGCGACCCGUCUUGAAACACGGACCAAGGAGUCUAAUAUUUAUGCGAGUAUUUGGGUGUCAAACCCGGGUGCGCAAUGAAAGUGAACGGAGGUGAGAACCCGCGAGGGUGCAUCAUCGACCGAUCCUGAUGUCUUCGGAUGGAUUUGAGUAAGAGCAUAGCUAUUGGGACCCGAAAAAGAGUGAACUUUACGUGAAUAGGGUGAAGUCAGAGGAAACUCUGAUGGAGGCUCGCAGCGGUUCUGACGUGCAAAUCGAUCGUCAAAUUUGCGUAAAGGGGCG
This 886-nucleotide ribosomal RNA is filed under the name Lawreyella lobariella. RNAcentral describes it as "partial large subunit ribosomal RNA". It matches the Rfam family "Eukaryotic large subunit ribosomal RNA", at positions 23 to 925 of the family's 3401-position model. The record is from RNAcentral. Lineage: Eukaryota; Fungi; Ascomycota; Leotiomycetes; Helotiales; Cordieritidaceae.